AGCGGAGGAAAAGAAACUAACAAGGAUGUGCGCCCUAUGAUAAUCGGCGAGCGAACCGGGAAUAGCCCAACGUGUAAAUCUCCCUCGGAGAAUUGUAGUCUAUAGAAGCAACUUCUGCAACGGCCGGACCUCAAGUCCCCUGGAAGGGGGCGUCAGAGAGGGUGAGAACCCCGUCGGGUCUUGGUGCGGUUGCCUCACGAAGUGCUCUCCAAGAGUCGGGUUGUUUGGGAAUGCAGCCCAAAUUUGGUGGUAAAUCCCAUCUAAGGCUAAAUAUUGGCGAGAGACCGAUAGCGAACAAGUACCGUGAGGGAAAGAUGAAAAGAACUUUGAAAAGAGAGUUAAAAAGUGCUUGAAAUUGUUGAGGGGGAAGCGAUUGGCAGCUGUGUGUGCACCUAGGCUUACGUCGCCUUAACGGGCGGCUGCAUGUGCUAGGUGCUGGUCAGCAUGGGUUAGCCUGGCAGGAUAAACGCAGGGGUUGUUACUCUGUCUAUACUGCCGGGUUGACCGAGGUGUGAAGGCCGCUCUUGUCCCUCGGGAUCUGCGGCCUCAAGAUGCUGGCGGAAGGCUUUCAAUCGGCUCGUCUUGAAACACGGACCAAGGAGUCUAACAUGUAUGCGAGCUGGUGGGUGGCAAACCCAUGAGGCGCAAGUAACCUGACUGGUGGGAUGGCGUAAGCCUGCACCAUCGACCGACCAUGAUCUUCUGUGAAAGGUUCGAGUACGAGCAUACCUGUUGGGACCCGAAAGAUGGUGAACUAUGCCUGAGCAGGGCGAAGCCAGAGGAAACUCUGGUGGAGGCUCGUAGACGUGCUGACGUGCAAAUCGCUUUUCGGACUUGGGUAUAGGGGCGAUAAGACUAAUCGAACCUUCUAGUA
RNAcentral lists this ribosomal RNA (874 nucleotides) under Uronema sp. KGE3. RNAcentral's name for it is "eukaryotic LSU rRNA". It matches the Rfam family "Eukaryotic large subunit ribosomal RNA", at positions 49 to 949 of the family's 3401-position model. Lineage: Eukaryota; Viridiplantae; Chlorophyta; Chlorophyceae; Chaetophorales; Uronemataceae. The record is from RNAcentral.